This is a long non-coding RNA of Larimichthys crocea (large yellow croaker), 2264 nucleotides long. RefSeq lists it as uncharacterized. The record is from RefSeq and is a predicted model, not a curated record. Lineage: Eukaryota; Metazoa; Chordata; Actinopteri; Sciaenidae. The transcript is spliced from 2 exons.
GCCAGCUGAUCGGAGUGAGAAGCCGGUUUGAAGAGAGGAGUUGGACCAGAGAGAGAGACCGGGGAGGGAGCCCCGAGGAGCAGCGAGCGGCACGGGGUGGGACCGGCCAAGCGGAUACUCAGAUUGGACCGUUUUUUUUUUUCUCUCCACCGUUUCUUAUUUAGAGGUUUAAAAAAAACAACCGGAGUGCAUGAGACACACAAAGCGACAGUGUUGUCAGGGUGAACUUGCAAAGGCUUUGCGUCUCGUCGAAACCUCUGGAGCUGUCAGAAAAAAAAAAAAAUUGAUUGAGAGUUAAGGUGUGGCUGAGGGUUUCUGUGAGGCUUCUGCACUGAACUAAUGUUACCAAAACCGACUGUUUCUACUCGAGAGUCAGGACUCUUAUACCUACCAAUGGCUUUAAAGAUUGUGUCCAGUCAUUUUCAUGAAGGAACAUAUUACAUAACAAAUCUAUUGCCAUCUCGACGUGCGCACCUUUUUGGCUUAAACCCAUCGCUUGUAGCCUAGAUUAAUUGGACACAGUUAAGAAGAAAGUCGAGUAUAUGUAUAUUUUUUUAACAGCUUGGCAGGUCGUUUUGCUUUUUUAGAAAGUGUGUGAAAUGUAACGGACGUGGCAACUUUACAGUAGCCAGCCCUGCUGAAUGCCACAGGCAAACUGGGCGUGGGGGAAACAGUCCGAACAGAGCCUUAAUAAUCCUCAAAUCUCAUCCAAAGCACGGCACAAAUUGCGCAUAUUUGAAAUAGUAUAACCACACUUGACAAAGCGCCUCGGCGGAGCCUGUGGAUUUUCCUGAAACCAAAGUAAGUGCGACUGUCAAAUACAUUUUGCAAACUUUUUUUUAGCGGAGGUGACAUUUAAAGGCCACAGGGGAGGGCGUGCUACGGUGUUACCUCAAAGGCAUUUUUAUCAUUUUAUCCAGAUGUAGUGUUUGUCUAAACAGGAGGAAUCGGAGAGAUUUUUGGCUGGUGAAGGUGGUGUGUCGGUCGGCUGAGGCCUGUAUAAAAAAAAAAAUCUUUAUUCUGUGUAUUUUGUGUGUGAUACAGUGAGAGGACAUUACUAAAAAUGGGAUGGGGCGGGUGUGUCUUUGCCAAAGCAAACGCUUGGGGCGUUGAAUUAAUCUAAAUGUGGAAGAAGGAGAAGAAGGAGCGAAAUAUAAGAGUUGGCUCUAUGUUACAGUAGUGUGCUCGACUUGUCAAAGAAUACUGGAGUCAUUCUUCACUCUUGCGAUGCGUUUAAAAGCACAAUAACUCAAUCAUAAUUGAGUGCAUGGGCAGACUGACCCCGUAUAGUCUAAUUAAGAUAAGCUUUAAGUCGAGGGGAAAGCAGAUAGAGUGAAUUCCUCAAGGCCCCACCCUUUGUAGCGCAACAUGGAUGUGGAGAGUUGCCCCCACCUCCUCCUCCUCCUCCUCCACCACCACCCCCUCCUCCUCUUCAUCCUCCUCUUCAUCCUCCUCCUCUCUCCUUCUCUCCCUCCGCGUCAUUCAUUUCCCCUUUCAAGCUUGUCUUAUGCUGUUUUUUACCCCCUCCCUUCAGUAUCUCCAGGUGCCUUCAGUUGUCUUUUAACAAACUUUCGAUCACGGCACCAGGAUCUUCAUCCAGGAGUCUACAGAGGCGUUAAUUGCUGGAGGGCCAGCGGUGAGGAGCGGUGGGCCUCUCGGCAGACCGGCUGGAAUGUGGACCAUAUGUAGCAGGCAUCCUAGGAAUGUAACUCGGCCUUGCUGAACUGACCAACCUAAAGACACAGAGAGAGCGGAGCAGGAUAAGGAGGAGAGAGAGAGGGACAAAAAGAAGGUAGGGCAAAGGAAGAUGAUAUUAAAGGACAAAAUAGAUCACGGAGGAGAGAAGGGAGAAAAUGAAUUAACGGGUCCUAACGUCAUGUCAUAUCUAAUGUAUUCCAUAAACACCUGUGUAGUGUAUUAGAGGAUAUUUAAUAGGGCAUGGCUUCUGAGGAUGAAAUGUGGAUCUGUAGUACUUUGUGUGUCAGACCACAGUGUUCUUCCAGCUCACUAACUCAGGGUGAAUGUCUGUCUCGUCUGUUAGCUUAGCACACUGUGCUCUCAGGCCAUCUGGGUACAGCUGGGGCCAGAACGGCAGGAAACACACUCACUCACAGAUACACACACUUAUACAAACAUUUUUUUUUUUUUUUAAUCUAACGUACCCUAGCCAUGCCCCCUACACAUACACAGACAUACACUGCACUGUUCAGUGGAGUGUGAUGGCAGUCGACCUCCACUUGCCACAUUAAAAAAAAAAAAAAAAA